AUUGAACGCUGGCGGCAGGCCUAACACAUGCAAGUCGAACGAGUGGCGGACGGGUGAGUAAUGUCUGGGAAACUGCCCGAUGGAGGGGGAUAACUACUGGAAACAGUAGCUAAUACCGCAUACCAUCGGAUGUGCCCAGAUGGGAUUAGCUAGUGGGUGGGGGAACGGCUCACCUGGGCGACGAUCCCUAGCUGAUCUGAGGGGAUGACCAGCCCAACUGGACCUGAGACACGGUCCAGACUCUAACGGGAGCAAGCAGUGGGGAAUAUUGCACAAGGGGGGCAAGCCUGAUGCAGCCAUGCCGCGUGGAUGAAGAAGGCCUUCGGGUUGUAAAGUACUUUCAGCGAGGAGGCGUUACUCGCAGAAGAAGCACCGGCUAACUCCGUGCCAGCCGCCGCGGUAAUAC
RNAcentral lists this ribosomal RNA (406 nucleotides) under uncultured bacterium. RNAcentral's name for it is "partial 16S ribosomal RNA". It matches the Rfam family "Bacterial small subunit ribosomal RNA", at positions 30 to 526 of the family's 1533-position model. The record is from RNAcentral.